This is a non-coding RNA of Vicia faba (fava bean), 198 nucleotides long. Lineage: Eukaryota; Viridiplantae; Streptophyta; Magnoliopsida; Fabales; Fabaceae. The record is from the annotation of a GenBank genome assembly.
AUGAGUAAUUACAGACGGCGGUCCGACCAUUUCUUCGGCGAACAUCUCGUCGGAAAGUAUCAAACCGCAACUAAAAUUUCGGAUUCUGGUACCGUUCAAAUCGUCUUGGUGAGUAGAUCACAAAAAUGGCCUUCAAAUCCAUUCAUUCAAACAAAGUCAUCACGUAAAUCGCGCAUACAUUCUAGAUCUGAAAAGUAA